CCCUCGAGGCCCGAAGAACAGACGGCCCAGCCCACUCAGAACGAAACGGUGUCUCGGCUCGACGGCUCGACACGCGCGUCUAAGCGUCCUCGACUCAACGGCUACUAGAUUAGGGUUUUACCUUUGUUGUCUCGCCUUGUUGUAUCUCUCCGGCAAAGCCUUCGAGGCUCCGGCAUCUUUCAGUUCACAUAUUUCCUUUCCUUGUAACCGACGAAACACUCUUCCGANNN
Molecule: long non-coding RNA, 230 nt
Filed under: Brassica napus (rape)
Lineage: Eukaryota; Viridiplantae; Streptophyta; Magnoliopsida; Brassicales; Brassicaceae
Description: long non-coding RNA (BNAP_LNC024716)
Source: RNAcentral